RNAcentral lists this ribosomal RNA (459 nucleotides) under uncultured bacterium. RNAcentral's name for it is "bacterial SSU rRNA". It matches the Rfam family "Bacterial small subunit ribosomal RNA", at positions 30 to 504 of the family's 1533-position model. The record is from RNAcentral.
CGAACGCUGGCGGCAUGGAUUAGGCAUGCAAGUCGAACGAGAAGCUCUAGCUUGCUAGAGUGGAUAGUGGCGAAAGGGUGAGUAACGCGUGAGUAAUCUGCCUCUAAGUUGGGAAUAGCCUCGGGAAACCGGGAUUAAUACCGAAUGUGAACUUCUGUCGCAUGUCAGAAAGUUUAAAGAUUUAUCGCUUAGAGAUGAGCUCGCGUCCCAUUAGCUAGUUGGUAAGGUAACGGCUUACCAAGGCAACGAUGGGUAGCUGGUCUGAGAGGAUGACCAGCCACACUGGGACUGAGACACUGCCCAGACUCCUACGGGAGGCUGCAGUCGAGAAUCUUCCGCAAUGGGCGAAAGCCUGACGGAGCAAUGCCGCGUGCAGGAUGAAGGCCUUUGGGUUGUAAACUGCUGUCACCAGGGAAGAACAAAAUGACGGUACCUGGAGAGGAAGCACCGGCUAACUAC